This 162-nucleotide ribosomal RNA is filed under the name Triticum aestivum (bread wheat). RNAcentral's name for it is "partial small subunit ribosomal RNA". The record is from RNAcentral. Lineage: Eukaryota; Viridiplantae; Streptophyta; Magnoliopsida; Poales; Poaceae.
AUGUACCUCGUAGUUGGGUUGUACCUUCCUCGGGUGUCAAAUGUGAUGAUGUACUUGGUCGUUCAAAUCUUACCUCCAUCUCGGUAUAACGAGAAGGAGUUUACUAUGGUCAGUGCAGUGAGAUUUGUNGAACUAAUCAUGCCUUUACACCUAUCGUCGUAG